GUGGGGAAUAUUGCACAAUGGGGGAAACCCUGAUGCAGCAACGCCGCGUGAAGGAUGAAGGUUUUCGGAUCGUAAACUUCUAUCAACAGGGACGAAACAAAUGACGGUACCUGAAUAAGAAGCCCCGGCUAACUACGUGCCAGCAGCCGCGGUAAUACGUAGGGGGCAAGCGUUAUCCGGAAUUACUGGGUGUAAAGGGAGCGUAGGCGGCACGUCAAGCCAGAUGUGAAAGCCCGGGGCUUAACCCCGUGGAUUGCAUUUGGAACUGGCGAGCUAGAGUACAGGAGAGGAAAGCGGAAUUCCUAGUGUAGCGGUGAAAUGCGUAGAUAUUAGGAAGAACACCAGUGGCGAAGGCGGCUUUCUGGACUGAAACUGACGCUGAGGCUCGAAAGCGUGGGGAGCAAACAGG
Molecule: ribosomal RNA, 409 nt
Filed under: uncultured bacterium
Lineage: Bacteria
Description: bacterial SSU rRNA
Rfam family: Bacterial small subunit ribosomal RNA
Source: RNAcentral